RNAcentral lists this ribosomal RNA (766 nucleotides) under Atypoides riversi. Its description in RNAcentral is "eukaryotic LSU rRNA". It matches the Rfam family "Eukaryotic large subunit ribosomal RNA", at positions 86 to 605 of the family's 3401-position model. The record is from RNAcentral. Lineage: Eukaryota; Metazoa; Arthropoda; Arachnida; Araneae; Antrodiaetidae.
ACGGCGAGCGAAGAGGGAAGAGUCCAGCGCCGAACUCCACCGAAUGUAGGCGGUCGGAGUCUGUGGCGUUAGGGAGGGAGCGUGCCGGUGGACGGACGUCGGAGCAAGUCCUCCUGAACGGGGCUGUUUCCCAGAGCGGGUGCCAGGCCCAUAGGUCCGACGACCCCACCGGAUAGCGAUCCUCUCCAGAGUCGGGUUACUUGGAAGUGUAACUCUAAGGAGGUGGUAAACUCCACCCAAGGCUAAAUACUGCCGUGAGACCGAUAGCGAACAAGUACCGUGAGGGAAAGUUGCAAAGAACUUUGAAGAGAGAGUUCAAGAGUACGUGAAACUGCUGAGAGGCAAACUGGUGGGCCCUCGAAAUCCCGUCUGCGGGGAGAUUCAGUCGGGUGUCGGCGGCCGUCUCGCAAUGGGUCUGUCGCAACCGAAGAUCGGGGCGCAUUCCGAGAGGCGAGUUCGCCGGAACCCGACGCAUUUCCCGCCCGCACGAAAGGACGCCGCAGCCGGUCGGGUAGCUGCGCGUGUCGGCCAUGAGGACGUUGCGACGGCAGGUGACCGGCGGCCCUAGGCUUCUCCGGAGGCACUAACGGUCGACGGUUGAUUAGCCGGCUCGUCCGUGGCGCGACACCCGACCGAGGUAACACGGACUUCGGAGUUCUUCUCUCCACGGAGAGAAACUCCCGCAAUCCACUACUUUCAAUAAAGAGAGAGCGAGCCGUCGGACAGGCGCGUUCCUGCGUGGUCGGACAGUCACCGCACUGGUCGA